CCUACGGGUGGCAGCAGUGAGGAAUAUUGGUCAAUGGGCGCGAGCCUGAACCAGCCACGUCGCGUGAGGGAUGAAGGUUCUAGGGAUCGUAAACCUCUUUUAUAAGGGAGUAAAGUGUGGGACGUGUCCUAUUUUGUAUGUACCUUAUGAAUAAGGAACGGCUAACUACUUGCCAGCAGCCGCGGUAAUACGGAGGAUCCGAGCGUUAUCCGGAUUUAUUGGGUUUAAAGGGUGCGUAGGUGGCAUUUUAAGUCAGCGGUGAAAGCCCGUGGCUCAACCAUAGAAUUGCAGUUGAAACUGGGGGGCUUGAGUAUGUGAGAGGCAGGCGGAAUGCGUGGUGUAGCGGUGAAAUGCGUAGAUAUCACGAAGAACCCCGAUGGCGAAGGCAGCUUGCUAAGCCAUGACUGACGCUGAGGCACGAAAGCGUGGGGAUCAAACAGGAUUAGAUACCCUAGUAGUC
Molecule: ribosomal RNA, 460 nt
Filed under: uncultured bacterium
Lineage: Bacteria
Description: partial 16S ribosomal RNA
Rfam family: Bacterial small subunit ribosomal RNA
Source: RNAcentral